This 247-nucleotide ribosomal RNA is filed under the name uncultured bacterium. RNAcentral's name for it is "partial small subunit ribosomal RNA". It matches the Rfam family "Bacterial small subunit ribosomal RNA", at positions 26 to 280 of the family's 1533-position model. The record is from RNAcentral.
AGGACGAACGCUGGCGGCGUGCUUAACACAUGCAAGUCGAGCGGAAAGGCCCUUCGGGUACUCGAGCGGCGAACGGGUGAGUAACACGUGAGCAACCUGCCCCUGGCUCUGGGAUAGCCUCCGGAAACGGGGAUUAAUACCGGACAUGACCUGCUGCCGCAUGGUGGCGGGUGGAAAGUUUUCGGCCAGGGUGGGGCUCGCGGCCUAUCAGCUUGGUUGGGGGGUGACGGCCCACCAAGGCGACGAC